UUUGCCUACGGGACGCAGCAGUGGGGAAUAUUGCACAAUGGGGGAAACCCUGAUGCAGCGACGCCGCGUGAAGGAUGAAGUAUUUCGGUAUGUAAAGCUCUGUCAGCAGGGAAGAAAGCAAUGACGGUACCUGACCAAGAAGCCCCGGCUAACUACGUGCCAGCAGCCGCGGUAAUACGUAGGGGGCAAGCGUUAUCCGGAAUUACUGGGUGUAAAGGGAGCGUAGACGGCUGUGCAAGUCUGG
RNAcentral lists this ribosomal RNA (244 nucleotides) under uncultured bacterium. RNAcentral's name for it is "partial 16S ribosomal RNA". It matches the Rfam family "Bacterial small subunit ribosomal RNA", at positions 334 to 592 of the family's 1533-position model. The record is from RNAcentral.